This 390-nucleotide ribosomal RNA is filed under the name Triticum aestivum (bread wheat). RNAcentral describes it as "partial small subunit ribosomal RNA". The record is from RNAcentral. Lineage: Eukaryota; Viridiplantae; Streptophyta; Magnoliopsida; Poales; Poaceae.
AUGACGGCCAUCCAGGUGGCAAAAAGUUUCCUUGCUGAAAUUGACAAGAUGUGCACACGGUUUUUGUGGUGCCAAGACGAGCAGCUCACCGGUAGGAAGUGUAACUUCAAGUGGAGUAACGUGUGCAUAACGAUGGACAAAGGCGGGCUGGGCAUCCUAGACACUACCAAGUUCGCCAAAGCAUUGAGACUGCGGUGGCUAUGCCAGACGUGGAAAUCUCCAGAUCGGCCAUGGGUGGGCACUGAGCUGCCAUGCAAUCAUAAGGACAUUGAUCUCUUCGCCGCGGCGACAUCAGUAAUAAUUGGCAAUGGGGAAACAACAAAGUUCUGGGGGCGCUCCAUGGCUCUGCUCAUUCCCCCUACGCAUGGUUGCUCCCACCUGUUCUGGUAG